Non-coding RNA from Thalassophryne amazonica, 457 nucleotides. Lineage: Eukaryota; Metazoa; Chordata; Actinopteri; Batrachoidiformes; Batrachoididae. The record is from the annotation of a RefSeq genome assembly.
CAUAGUGUCUGUGGGCUAUUUUUAACUACAGAUUUAAAGGUCUGUUUUUAAGACUUUUAAAAAAGGUGACACUAUGAUCCCUUUAAGUUUUCUUUCCAGAAUGUCUCCUUCUUCAUUCACAUGUGGAAUAUUUCUGUUCCUGCUCACACGGAGAGUGAACAGCGUGAAGGUUCAGCAGUCUUCUGCUCAGAUUGUACCCGACGGCACAGGGGAGGUGAUGAGCUGCAGUCAUGAUGACAGAAGCCUGGCAGGGAUGCUCUGGUACCAACAAAAAUCCAGCAGUCACUCCAUCAGCCUGAUUGGCUACACAGUGUUCCAGGCCACCCCGAGAUAUGAGGGUCAGUUUGCAGACAGAUUCCAGCUGAGAAGAGACGUCCUGACGAGAGGAUCUCUGGUAAUCCGCAGUGUGAAUCUGUCAGACUCAGCUGUGUAUUUCUGCGCCCCCAGCACACAGUGA